UACGAAGGGGGCUAGCGUUGCUCGGAAUGACUGGGCGUAAAGGGCGCGUAGGCGGUCAGCACAAGUCAGUUGUGAAAUCUCCGGGCUUAACUCGGAAAGGUCAACUGAUACUGUGCGACUAGAGUGCGGAAGGGGCAACUGGAAUUCUCGGUGUAGCGGUGAAAUGCGUAGAUAUCGAGAGGAACACCUGCGGCGAAGGCGGGUUGCUGGGCCGACACUGACGCUGAUGCGCGAAAGCCAGGGGAGCGAACGGG
This 254-nucleotide ribosomal RNA is filed under the name uncultured bacterium. RNAcentral's name for it is "partial 16S ribosomal RNA". It matches the Rfam family "Bacterial small subunit ribosomal RNA", at positions 524 to 776 of the family's 1533-position model. The record is from RNAcentral.